GUAGGGUGCGAGCGUUAAUCGGAAUUACUGGGCGUAAAGCGUGCGCAGGCGGUUGUGUAAGCCAGACGUGAAAUCCCCGGGCUUAACCUGGGAAUGGCGUUUGGGACUGCACGGCUCGAGUAUGGCAGAGGGGACUAGAAUUCCUGGUGUAGCAGUGAAAUGCGUAGAUAUCAGGAGGAAUACCGAUGGCGAAGGCAGGUCCCUGGGUUAAUACUGACGCUCAUGCACGAAAGCGUGGGGAGCAAACAGGAUUAGAUACCCUGGUAGUCCACGCCCUAAACUAUGUCAACUGGUUGUUGGGGGUUUGACACUCUCAGUAACGAAGCUAACGCGUGAAGUUGACCGCCUGGGGAGUACGGCCGCAAGGUUA
Molecule: ribosomal RNA, 370 nt
Filed under: uncultured bacterium
Lineage: Bacteria
Description: bacterial SSU rRNA
Rfam family: Bacterial small subunit ribosomal RNA
Source: RNAcentral